Molecule: transfer RNA, 92 nt
Filed under: Dictyoglomus thermophilum
Lineage: Bacteria; Pseudomonadati; Dictyoglomota; Dictyoglomia; Dictyoglomales; Dictyoglomaceae
Also listed under: 4 other names
Description: tRNA-Ser
Rfam family: tRNA
About the family: Transfer RNA (tRNA) molecules are approximately 80 nucleotides in length.
Source: RNAcentral
GGAGAGGUGGCUGAGUGGACGAAGGCGCUCGCCUGGAGAGCGAGUAGGCCACGAAAGUGGCCUCGUGGGUUCGAAUCCCACCCUCUCCGCCA